Caenorhabditis elegans is the source of this 146-nucleotide non-coding RNA. Lineage: Eukaryota; Metazoa; Nematoda; Chromadorea; Rhabditida; Rhabditidae. The record is from Ensembl.
GCAAACAAGACUUUUGAUUGAGGACACAAAAAGAGCCGUCCGUUGGUCAUCACAACGAGGGCGGUGCUAUGACAAGGAGCACAGCAGUGCACCAUGUCGUGCUCCGAUGCACUUGCUCAACGGGGAGGAAGACUGUACAUACACAC